This 69-nucleotide transfer RNA is filed under the name Oostethus brachyurus (short-tailed pipefish). RNAcentral describes it as "tRNA-Asp". The record is from RNAcentral. Lineage: Eukaryota; Metazoa; Chordata; Actinopteri; Syngnathiformes; Syngnathidae.
AAGAUGUUAGUAAAACCAUUAUACUGCCUUGUCAAGACAGAGUUGCGAGAUAACCCCUCGCACAUCUUA